This 560-nucleotide long non-coding RNA is filed under the name Drosophila guanche. Lineage: Eukaryota; Metazoa; Arthropoda; Insecta; Diptera; Drosophilidae. The record is from RNAcentral.
CCUCAAUUUCGUAGUAGCUAUUACCCAAUCUAGCUCUCACUCUUGCCUUGAUGAAACUUGGAGCCAGUUUGGCGUUGAAGCCUUUUGCAAAAUUACUUUGUUGAAAGUUACGACGGAAUAAUUCCUGACCAACUGCAAAAGAAACUUCUCGGCUUCGUUUGUUAUAAUUCCGCUCAUUUCGAAUACAUUGUCGCAGCAUGGACUGUUUUGCCUUUGAGCGAAUCAAGUCGAAGGAAUCCUCCCUGUUAAACUGCACAGUUCUAUCUUCCAAAAGUUCUAAUCUGCGCAAGAGGUCGUACUGAGAUCCACUCGUAACCAUAUGUUGACCAAAUGCCAUACGAUAAGGGCUGGAACUUACACCUGAGUGAACGCUUGAACGCAACGAACAGCAUAUUUGACUUAGCUGUUCAUCCCAGUUCUUCUGAUCCGGUUUUAUGUAGGAUUUUAUUGCGGCAAUUACCGAUCUAUUUACCCUUUCAGACGCAUUGCCUUGAGGAGCAUAGAUGGCUGUAUAGCAAUGCUUAAUUUUGUAUUUUUCCAGAAGUGCAUUGAAGCUAUUG